This 502-nucleotide ribosomal RNA is filed under the name uncultured bacterium. Its description in RNAcentral is "bacterial SSU rRNA". It matches the Rfam family "Bacterial small subunit ribosomal RNA", at positions 30 to 528 of the family's 1533-position model. The record is from RNAcentral.
AUUGAACGCUGGCGGAAUGCUUUACACAUGCAAGUCGAACGGUAGAGGGGGCAACCCCUUGAGAGUGGCGAACGGGUGAGUAAUAUAUCGGAACGUGCCCAGUCGUGGGGAUAACGUAGCGAAAGUUACGCUAAUACCGCAUACGAUCUAAGGAUGAAAGCGGGGGAUCGCAAGACCUCGCGCGAUUGGAGCGGCCGAUAUCAGAUUAGGUAGUUGGUGAGGUAAAGGCUCACCAAGCCAACGAUCUGUAGCUGGUCUGAGAGGACGACCAGCCACACUGGAACUGAGACACGGUCCAGACUCCUACGGGAGGCAGCAGUGGGGAAUUUUGGACAAUGGACGCAAGUCUGAUCCAGCCAUUCCGCGUGCAGGAUGAAGGCCCUCGGGUUGUAAACUGCUUUUGUACGGAACGAAAAGGUUUCUAUUAAUACUAGGAGCUCAUGACGGUACCGUAAGAAUAAGCACCGGCUAACUACGUGCCAGCAGCCGCGGUAAAGUGACU